Molecule: unclassified non-coding RNA, 435 nt
Filed under: uncultured fungus
Lineage: Eukaryota; Fungi
Description: partial contains small subunit ribosomal RNA, internal transcribed spacer 1, and 5.8S ribosomal RNA
Rfam family: Eukaryotic small subunit ribosomal RNA (bases 1-73)
Source: RNAcentral
GCAAACUUGGUCAUUUAGAGGAAGUAAAAGUCGUAACAAGGUUUCCGUAGGUGAACCUGCGGAAGGAUCAUUAACAAAUCAUAGUGCGGGGAGAGGUAGGAGAAGGGGGGGGAGAGUGUGUGUGUGUGGGUGGUGUGGUUAUAUAUGUGAGGGAAAGAGAGAUCUAACCUCACAAUAUUAUCGCUCACUCAUUCACCUACCACCACCUGCCUACCGCUUACCCAAACCAAACCGGGCCUCCGAGAGGAGGUUCGCCUGUAGACAGUGGUGGUGUGGUAAAGUUGUUAUUAACAAAAUGACUACUAAGCUAUAAGCUAAGCUGUCUGCAGAAAUAGGCAAUGAUAAUAAUGUAUGUCUUAAAUAUUGUUAUAUUUUGAAAUAUAAACAACUUUUAACAAUGGAUCUCUUGGCUCCUGCAUCGAUGAAGAACGCAGC